Molecule: ribosomal RNA, 465 nt
Filed under: uncultured Klebsiella sp.
Lineage: Bacteria; Pseudomonadati; Pseudomonadota; Gammaproteobacteria; Enterobacterales; Enterobacteriaceae
Description: bacterial SSU rRNA
Rfam family: Bacterial small subunit ribosomal RNA
Source: RNAcentral
CCUACGGGAGGCAGCAGUGGGGAAUAUUGCACAAUGGGCGCAAGCCUGAUGCAGCCAUGCCGCGUGUGUGAAGAAGGCCUUCGGGUUGUAAAGCACUUUCAGCGGGGAGGAAGGCGGUGAGGUUAAUAACCUCAUCGAUUGACGUUACCCGCAGAAGAAGCACCGGCUAACUCCGUGCCAGCAGCCGCGGUAAUACGGAGGGUGCAAGCGUUAAUCGGAAUUACUGGGCGUAAAGCGCACGCAGGCGGUCUGUCAAGUCGGAUGUGAAAUCCCCGGGCUCAACCUGGGAACUGCAUUCGAAACUGGGAGGCUAGAGUCUUGUAGAGGGGGGUAGAAUUCCAGGUGUAGCGGUGAAAUGCGUAGAGAUCUGGAGGAAUACCGGUGGCGAAGGCGGCCCCCUGGACAAAGACUGACGCUCAGGUGCGAAAGCGUGGGGAGCAAACAGGAUUAGAUACCCUAGUAGUC